RNAcentral lists this ribosomal RNA (468 nucleotides) under uncultured bacterium. Its description in RNAcentral is "partial 16S ribosomal RNA". It matches the Rfam family "Bacterial small subunit ribosomal RNA", at positions 28 to 507 of the family's 1533-position model. The record is from RNAcentral.
GACGAACGCUGGCGGCGUGCUUACCACAUGCAAGUCGAACGGAAAGGCCCUGCUUUUGUGGGGUGCUCGAGUGGCGAACGGGUGAGUAACACGUGAGUAACCUGCCCUUGACUUUGGGAUAACUUCAGGAAACUGGGGCUAAUACCGGAUAGGAGCUCCUGCUGCAUGGUGGGGGUUGGAAAGUUUCGGCGGUUGGGGAUGGACUCGCGGCUUAUCAGCUUGUUGGUGGGGUAGUGGCUUACCAAGGCUUUGACGGGUAGCCGGCCUGAGAGGGUGACCGGCCACAUUGGGACUGAGAUACGGCCCAGACUCCUACGGGAGGCAGCAGUGGGGAAUAUUGCACAAUGGGCGGAAGCCUGAUGCAGCAACGCCGCGUGCGGGAUGACGGCCUUCGGGUUGUAAACCGCUUUCGCCUGUGACGAAGCGUGAGUGACGGUAAUGGGUAAAGAAGCACCGGCUAACUACGUG